Astatotilapia calliptera (eastern happy) is the source of this 1127-nucleotide long non-coding RNA. NCBI's taxonomy places the organism in Eukaryota, Metazoa, Chordata, Actinopteri, Cichliformes, Cichlidae. The record is from Ensembl.
GGAAAAAGUCUCUGUUCCUGGUCCCCAGCUCAGAUACUGGUAACAUAGUAGUUUUACUGGUUUCCAGUUAUUUUUUUCUUUAUUUCAUUUUAUUAUUUUGUGUAAAUAAUGAGAUACAAGUUGCAUCAGGUCAAGAAAUGUGAAAGCCUGACACCCAGCAGCACUGGCAACCACUCGCACUGUCAGUCUCAUGUCAGCAUCAAAACACAUGGUUGCAUCGCACAUCUCACCUCCCACAGGAUACACAGCAUCUCAUUCACACUCUCUUCCCUUCCACAAAGGGCUAAUACGAGGUGUCAGAAAAAAGAAAGAAAAAAAAAACGCCUCCUUGUUUCCUAUGAAAAAUAAUCAAAUACACACACUCAAAAAAAAAAUCACACUGGAUUCUACUCAGGUGUACAUGUGCACACAUAUCGUAGAUCUGUUUACAAAAAAAGUCACCGACUCCAGGAGGUCCACAGGCCAAAUCAAUACAAAUUCUUUAGUGAGGUGAAUCAAUAGAAAGAAGUAAAUGUUAACCUGCUUCAGACUGCAUGGCACCAUUCACUACACCUCUGCUGCUUUACACCUUUGCCUUAUUUAGUAUCUACAGAUCUCUGUAUAUGCAAAUCAGUUCCCACCUCCUCCCUCAGAAGAUGCCUUCUACUUUAGCUGCAAGCUUUAUUGCCCCUCAAAAAAUUCCUGCUACAUGGAGGAAGACACAGCACCGGUCCACACUCCCAAAGUGUGUGUUUUAUUAAGAGGAAGAGGAAAACCCAGUGCUUAAUAAAUCACUACAACUGGGAUAAAGGAAGGAAGACGCAGCACGUCAGGAGAGACAAAAAAUAAAAAAGGUGAUGGGAAAAAACACAGUGCCUGCAGCACAUUAAACAACACCUGGGUGCAGCAUUUAGGCAAAAUUGUCAUCGUACUUAAAGUAUCUUAAUAUGGUGUCAGCCCAAGUAAUGUUAUCUUCACUUCACCUAUCUCUCUUGUGCUGUGUGUGUGUGUGUCUGUUUAACUGUGACACACACCAAGCAAAUCAGUGGAACAGCAGAACACACACAUACACGCACAGUGGAAAAAGGACAGAGGAGAACAAGAAAACAGAAGGAGAGAUUACAUGUUGUGCUGAAAUAAAAAAAAAA